This 440-nucleotide ribosomal RNA is filed under the name uncultured bacterium. Its description in RNAcentral is "partial 16S ribosomal RNA". It matches the Rfam family "Bacterial small subunit ribosomal RNA", at positions 338 to 795 of the family's 1533-position model. The record is from RNAcentral.
CCUACGGGGGGCUGCAGUAGGGAAUAUUGCUCAAUGGGGGAAACCCUGAAGCAGCAACGCCGCGUGGAGGAUGAAGGUUUUCGGAUUGUAAACUCCUUUUGUUAGAGAAGAUAAUGACGGUAUCUAACGAAUAAGCACCGGCUAAAUCCGUGCCAGCAGCCGCGGUAAUACGGAGGGUGCAAGCGUUACUCGGAAUCAAUGGGCGUAAAGAGCGCGUAGGCGGGAUAGCAAGUCAGAUGUGAAAUCCUAUGGCUUAACCUUAGAAUUGCAUUUGAAACUGUUAUUCUAGAGUAUGGGAGAGGUAGGUGGAAUUCUUGGUGUAGGGGUAAAAUGCGUAGAGAUCAAGAAGAAUACUCAUUGCGAAGGCGGCUUACUAGAACAUAACUGACGCUGAUGCGCGAAAGCGUGGGGAGCAAACAGGAUUAGAUACCCUAGUAGUC